Molecule: ribosomal RNA, 484 nt
Filed under: uncultured bacterium
Lineage: Bacteria
Description: partial 16S ribosomal RNA
Rfam family: Bacterial small subunit ribosomal RNA
Source: RNAcentral
AUUGAACGCUGGCGGCAGGCCUAACACAUGCAAGUCGAGCGGAUGAAGGGAGCUUGCUCCUGGAUUCAGCGGCGGACGGGUGAGUAAUGCCUAGGAAUCUGCCUGGUAGUGGGGGAUAACGUCCGGAAACGGGCGCUAAUACCGCAUACGUCCUGAGGGAGAAAGUGGGGGAUCUUCGGACCUCACGCUAUCAGAUGAGCCUAGGUCGGAUUAGCUAGUUGGUGGGGUAAAGGCCUACCAAGGCGACGAUCCGUAACUGGUCUGAGAGGAUGAUCAGUCACACUGGAACUGAGACACGGUCCAGACUCUUACGGGAGGAAGCAGUGGGGAAUAUUGGACAAGGGGCGAAAGCCUGAUCCAGCCAUGCCGCGUGUGUGAAGAAGGUCUUCGGAUGGUAAAGCACUUUAAGUUGGGAGGAAGGGCAGUAAGUUAAUACCUUGCUGUUUUGACGUUACCAACAGAAUAAGCACCGGCUAACUUCGUG